GAUAAACGCUGGCGGCGUGCAUGAGACAUGCAAGUCGAACGAAGGAUCGGGCUUGCUCGAUCCUUAGUGGCGGACGGCUGAGUAACGCGUAGGUGACCUACCCCGAAGUGGGGAAUAACUGCCCGAAAGGGUGGCUAAUACCGCAUGUGGUCGCACGUUCAUUCGUGCGAGUAAAGCCGCAAGGCGCUUCGGGAGGGGCCUGCGUCCGAUUAGCUCGUUGGUGGGGUAAUGGCUUACCAAGGCGACGAUCGGUAGGUGGUCUGAGAGGACGAUCACCCAGACUGGGACUGAGACACGGCCCAGACUCCUACGGGAGGCAGCAGUCGGGAAUUUUGCUCAAUGGGGGAAACCCUGAAGCAGCAACGCCGCGUGAGGGAUGAAGGCCUUCGGGUUGUAAACCUCUUUUGUCAGGGACGAUGAUGACGGUACCUAGCGAAUAAGCCACGGCUAACUACGUG
RNAcentral lists this ribosomal RNA (458 nucleotides) under uncultured bacterium. RNAcentral's name for it is "partial 16S ribosomal RNA". It matches the Rfam family "Bacterial small subunit ribosomal RNA", at positions 28 to 507 of the family's 1533-position model. The record is from RNAcentral.